Long non-coding RNA from Astatotilapia calliptera (eastern happy), 704 nucleotides. Lineage: Eukaryota; Metazoa; Chordata; Actinopteri; Cichliformes; Cichlidae. The record is from Ensembl.
GGAUCAUUUACUUCAGUCUGAGCUCUUGCAUUUUGUCUUUUCUCCCUAUGCACUUCUUUUUUCUUCUUUCUCACCUUUCUAGCUGGUUGCAUUGAUUGCUGCCCGUCUGUUUCUGCCAGAGGUCUACUCGUUUCAAAAGGGUGUUCUUCCUUCCCACUGACGCUAGGCGCUGCUCAUAGGGGACUGCAUAGUGUAAUGUGCUUUGAGGCGACUGUUGUUACUUUAAAAGUAACAAACUGAAACAUUCAGGACUUAAAUGUAGUAAUCAAACCUGACAUUAUGUAUAAGUUGUGUUUUUUUUUCUUUUUCCAUAGAUGAGUUGGAUGAAAGUGAAACGACAACAAAGCCUUUAUUGAAUAAAACUGGUGAAGCUCAGCACCUAGAGCUGAACGUUACAAGCACAGGAAGUGAAACUGAAAAUGCAUCUGUACCAUCUUCCACCAAUAAUAGAGUAGAAGAAAAAGUGGAGAUCACACGUGAAGUCAGAGGAAAGACUGAGCCACAAGACGAAAAUGAAGAUCAGUCAGAGAAAAGAGAAGACACCGCAACAGGAGGAGGAGAAUCUGAAACCUGGACUCCAUCACAACCUUUAAACAUUGAGAAGGGAGAGGAGUCAGCGAAGAGCGCAGCUGAAACAGAGGUAAAGAUGAAGUCUUUGUAUCGUCCCUGUUCACUGUCAUAGCAAAAUGAACACCAAACUGCUC